AUUGAACGCUGGCGGCAGGCCUAACACAUGCAAGUCGAGCGGAUGAAGGGAGCUUGCUCCUGGAUUCAGCGGCGGACGGGUGAGUAAUGCCUAGGAAUCUGCCUGGUAGUGGGGGAUAACGUCCGGAAACGGGCGCUAAUACCGCAUACGUCCUGAGGGAGAAAGUGGGGGAUCUUCGGACCUCACGCUAUCAGAUGAGCCUAGGUCGGAUUAGCUAGUUGGUGGGGUAAAGGCCUACCAAGGCGACGAUCCGUAACUGGUCUGAGAGGAUGAUCAGUCACACUGGAACUGAGACACGGUCCAGACUCCUACGGGAGGCAGCAGUGGGGAAUAUUGGACAAUGGGCGAAAGCCUGGUCCAGCCAUGCCGCGUGUGUGAAGAAGGUCUUCGGAUUGUAAAGCACUUUAAGUUGGGAGGAAGGGCAGUAAGUUAAUACCUUGCUGGUUUGACGUUACCAACAGAAUAAGCACCGGCUAACUUCGUG
This 484-nucleotide ribosomal RNA is filed under the name uncultured bacterium. RNAcentral's name for it is "partial 16S ribosomal RNA". It matches the Rfam family "Bacterial small subunit ribosomal RNA", at positions 30 to 507 of the family's 1533-position model. The record is from RNAcentral.